Molecule: long non-coding RNA, 547 nt
Organism: Hypanus sabinus (Atlantic stingray)
Lineage: Eukaryota; Metazoa; Chordata; Chondrichthyes; Myliobatiformes; Dasyatidae
Exons: 3
Source: RefSeq, a predicted model, not a curated record
UUGGAACAGCAACUUGGCCCUGUUGGCUAUGAACAGCCAGUGGACCAAGCACUUGACAUCCAGAAAAUCAUUGAUGCUUCUGCCACCAAUCACAAUAACAGAUGGAUUGUGCUUCUCUGAAAACAUCAAUGAGGCAAACAUUGAAAGAAGACCAGCAUCAAACAGCAGCAGGAAGCCUAGAAGGAGACUCCCAUUUUAUAAUUGCACGUUGAAGGAAAACUCUGAUCUCAAGCCUCCGCUGCCUUGUGGCUACACCCACUCAUGCAUGAGGGAGGCUUCAGGAGAAAACCUCAAUGAAAAGUCCGGAGCUGGAGUCCCGAAGGCAGCCCUGCAUUGAGUUCAAUGCUGACGGGCACCUCCUGUGAAGCUGCUGGUGGCAAACAGUAUCAGUCUCCGCCGUUCGUUUGGAUUCGUCAGCUGUGUGGAGAGAGGGAGCCCACUGCUUGCUCACCGUAUCGUACAGCCCUGGCUCGCAUAUCAACUAUGUAGGCUAUUAUGUUUUGUAACUUCAAAAUAUUGAAGUAAUUCAAAGGAAGACGCAGGAGUC